GUAGCAGCGGUCCGAGCUGCACGCCACACUCUCCCAUGUCAAUCACAUCAUCUCUCCGUAACUCAUUGGGCCAUUGGUCAGUCUAGCCCGAGGGCGGGUUGUUGGGCGGAAGAGAGAGGCUUCUUCCGGCCUCACUCGGAGUCACCAUAGAGAUGGCGCAUCCAGGCAGCGAAGCGGCAGGGCUGGGCAUCUCAGAUCUCGAACUCCGGGGAGCUGCACAGUCGUCUAGACCCUUGCGAAGCAGACUAAGGCAAGGAUCAUUCUACCCACGGGACAGACUGGGGAAGCGGCCCUGGGUCCAUCAAGUAAACCCUCUGCCGCCAGGCUGCUGGAACUGGAGUUGGCCCACGCUAUUGGCAGACUGCUGUUACCUUACUGCCAACUAAAGCUUGCCAUGACUUUGCUUUGAGGCUGUGGCCUGUUAGACCAAAAGAUGCAUCAAUCAGGACAACCAAAGGAAGUAGGACAGACAGGCUACGUGCUCCACCACUGAAUCAAGAAGGGAAAACAAAAAUCAGUACCAAAUUGGAGAGUUGCACCGUUUGAACCUUUGACCCUAAACAAAAUUCAGAAAUAUCAUGAAGCAAACUAUUCAAUCUUAGAGCACUGAAUCUCUGAUUUAAGGAAUUCACCUGAAUCACAGCUUUAUGAACCAAAAAGAAGAAGAUGCUUGAAUUUCAAGUGCACGUCUCAAAUUUAUUCUACUUUCAAGGCUUCAUUUGCAGUCACAUAAAGUAACCAAUGAUUUCUUGUGUGUUUAGCAACUUAACAUUACUUGGCCCAGUGAGAAGCUCUGUGGCUAAGAAAUCCUUUAUUUUGAUGAAUUCAUUUCACUGGAAUUGAGUGUUGACUGCAGCUAUGUUCUGUUAGGAACUGUGAGGAUAUACCAGAAAUGAAAUGUAUUUCAUUUCAGAAAUGAGAUGUGACUCCUGUCUUAAUAGCCUGUGGUUUUGUAAUGUUAGGUCAACAACACAUGAAACAACUAGGAAACACUUUAAAACAAGAUAUAACAAUGGGCCAACCCUAUUGUACAAUUUCUCCAAAAUAUAAUAAUACUUCAUAUUUGCAGAUCAUUUUGUAGUUUCCAGAGCACUUCUUCCCUUGUAUUAUUUGGGGGAUAUUUUGUUAUGGCUGGAAUUAACGUGUAUGUCUUUAUCAUAGAGCUAGAACUAAUGCUGGGUCGUAGCAUAUGAGUAGGAACAGGAAAGGUGGAAGAGAAUCCAGGAAGAGAAAGUAGUUUGCUCUGAGCAAAGAGGCCAAGGCAAGAAUGAGCACUGAGUAUCUGGAGAAUAAUAGGGAGACAAAUGAUAGAAAGUAAUGUGUAGACAAGUUGGUCAGAACUGGCUUUGAGACCUUAAUAUUUUGGAGGAAAGUGGUCAAAAGUUCAAAGUUUGAGAUUGGAAAAGUUAACUUCCUUACACUUCUAAUGUUCAUACUGGCUUCAGUUAAGCUAUAAAUUAAAAAUGGGCGUGGCUCGACAAAAUUUGAGUCCUGUCCUCUGGCUUUUCUCCUUAGGCAGCAUGAGCUUCACCAUUUGCUUUACCACCUCCACCAACUACCAGUCCCUGCACUCCAUCCAGCCACACAGCCAUAUCAUCUGGUCCAUCAGCAGCGCAGGUGAAGUCUAUGCAGGCCUCAGGGGCUUGGGCUCCCAUACCUCAGUGUCCUUCUCCACAAGCUUCUGGGGUGGCUGGGGGUCUGGAGGCCUGGCUGCAGGGAUGGCCAGGGGUCUGGAAGGAAUGGGGGACAUCCAAAAUGAGAAGGAUACCAUGCAAGGCCUGAGUGACUGCCUGGCCUUCCUACCUGGACAGAGUGAGGACUCUGGUGACUGAGAGUCAGAGGCUGGUGAGCACAAUCUGAGAGCACUUGGAGAAGAAGAGACCCCGGGUCAGAGUCUGGGGGUAUUACUUCAUGACAAUCAAGGACUUGAGGGCUCAUAUCUUUGAAAUUCUGUGUUGUUCUACAGAUUGACAAUGCCGGUCUUGCUGCUGAUGACUUUAGAGUCAAGUAUAAGACAGAGCUGGCCAUGUGCCAGUCUGUGGAGAGCAACGUCCAUGGGCUCCACAAGGUCAUGGAUGACACCAAUGUCAGUCGGCUACAGCUGGAGACAGAGAUGGCUCUCAAGGAGGAGCUCCUCUUCAUGAAAAAGAACCAAGAGAAGGAAGUAAAAGGUCUACAAGCCCUGAUUGCCAGCUCUGGGUUGACCACGGAGGUAAAUGCCCCCCAAAUCUCAGGACCUCAGCAAUAUCAUACAGCCCUCCUGGCCCAGUAUGAUGAGCUGGCUCAGAAGAACUGAGAAGAGCUGGACAAGUACUGGUCCCAGAAGACUGAGGAGCACACCACAGUGGUCACCACGCAGUCCACCAAAAUAGGAGCUGCUGAGAUGACAUUCGUGGAGCUGAGAUGUAUAGUUCAGUCCUUAGAGAUAAACCUAGACUCAAUGAGAAAUCUGAAGGCCAGCUUGGAGAACAGCCUGAGGGAGGUGGAGGCCUGCUAUGCCAUGCAUAUGGAGCAGCUUAGUGGGGCCCUGCUGCACCUGGAUUCAGAGCUGGCACAGGCCCAGGCAGAGGGGCAAUGCCAGGCCCAGAAGUAUGAGGCCCUGCUGAACAUCAAGGUCAAGCUGGAGGCUGAGAUUGCCACCUACUGCUGCCUGCUGGAAGAUGGGGAGGACUUCAGUUGUAGUGAUGCAUGCCCUGGACAGCAGCAACUCUAUGCAAACCAUCCAAAAGACUGUCCAGGAUAGUGGAUGGCAAAGUGGUGUCUGAGACCAAAAACACCAAAGUUCAGAGGCGCUGAGCCAGCAGAAGCAGGGUACCCUUUGGGGAGCAGGAAGCCAAUAAGAAGUUCGGAAGUCACUGGAUGACAAAAAUAAAUAAAUAAAUAAAUAAAUAAAUAAAUAAAUAAAUAAAUAAAUAAAAGAAUGGACAUGAA
RNA transcript from Piliocolobus tephrosceles (Ugandan red Colobus), 2931 nucleotides. It is a transcript of the gene named keratin, type I cytoskeletal 18-like, with no coding region annotated. The record is from RefSeq and is a predicted model, not a curated record. The transcript is spliced from 2 exons. Lineage: Eukaryota; Metazoa; Chordata; Mammalia; Primates; Cercopithecidae.